CCUACGGGGGCUGCAGUGGGGAAUAUUGGACAAUGGGCGAAAGCCUGAUCCAGCCAUGCCGCGUGUGUGAAGAAGGCCUUCGGGUUGUAAAGCACUUUCAGUGGGGAAGAAAGCCUUGGGGCUAAUACCCUCGAGGAAGGACAUCACCACAGAAGAAGCACCGGCUAACUCCGUGCCAGCAGCCGCGGUAAUACGGAGGGUGCGAGCGUUAAUCGGAAUUACUGGGCGUAAAGCGCGCGUAGGCGGUCUGAUAAGCCGGUUGUGAAAGCCCCGGGCUCAACCUGGGAACGGCAUCCGGAACUGUCAGGCUAGAGUGCAGGAGAGGAAGGUAGAAUUCCCGGUGUAGCGGUGAAAUGCGUAGAGAUCGGGAGGAAUACCAGUGGCGAAGGCGGCCUUCUGGACUGACACUGACGCUGAGGUGCGAAAGCGUGGGUAGCAAACAGGAUUAGAUACCCUUGUAGUC
This 463-nucleotide ribosomal RNA is filed under the name Vreelandella stevensii. RNAcentral describes it as "partial 16S ribosomal RNA". It matches the Rfam family "Bacterial small subunit ribosomal RNA", at positions 338 to 795 of the family's 1533-position model. Lineage: Bacteria; Pseudomonadati; Pseudomonadota; Gammaproteobacteria; Oceanospirillales; Halomonadaceae. The record is from RNAcentral.